Molecule: long non-coding RNA, 2064 nt
Organism: Gasterosteus aculeatus aculeatus (three-spined stickleback)
Lineage: Eukaryota; Metazoa; Chordata; Actinopteri; Perciformes; Gasterosteidae
Source: Ensembl
AAACCAAACAUUACUUCAACCAUAAAUUCUCAUAUUAUUCACUAAAUCUCAGUUUACAGGAAGACAUUUGUAUUGUAAAGACCGACUUGAAUACGAGUUCUAGUGCUGUGGUCAUCUAAUCACUAAUGACAUUUAUUAGGUCACUGGAACUCCGUCACAACACGUUGGGUAAUGGUAUGAGAUGAGGACCGUCCGGGUGUUUCCUCCCAACACCACAAUAUUCGUAUGGAUUAUGACUAUAAAAUAAAAAGAGGUGGACUGUCCUGAUGAGGUCACGUCCCGGCCUGUAGUCUGGAGCCUUCACAUGUGUGAAGCGCUGCAGCACGGCGCCGGUGGAUCAGGAGGCCGUCAACCAGGUCAGAGAUUAUCACAACAUGUACUUAUUUGCAUACUUGCUCGCUGAUCCGGGAGCAGCUUUGAUGAACGUGAUCCAGAGGGAUUCUGUGGUGGUUGAACGGGUUUUGAUCCUCGGUUCGGCAGGUCCGACUCUCACGAGAUGAAGGAACUGAUGUUAUUUGCAGUUAUUUCUCAUGGGGGUCUGGGGAGCUUGUGAAGGGAGAAACACUGAGCGGGUUUAACACACACAAGUUCAUGCGAGUCCACGUGUGGAAAGUAGCACACACAACGGCGCUUUUUUUCCUUCAACUAUUUCCAUAAUACUAAGUCAAAAGAAGGAAUGAGUUAUGUUUUUUCUGUUUACUUGAAAUUGACAUAAAAACACACUCCUUUACUAAAGGUGGCAAUUAAAAAAAAAUGAAAUUGCAUAAAAUAAUUCCCUACCUGUGGUUUCAAUUCAAAUUGCAUGUGUCCUCAUGCUUUGCUUCUCUUCUAUUGCGGGAGGCGUUGAGAUGAGUACACAGCAGUUAGCAAUACAAAAACACUAUUAAAAGCCAAUUAUGUUUCUAAAUCCUUGACCCUGGGAUCAAGAGAUCAUAUGAUUGCAAUACUCACUCAAGGACAUAAUUCAAGAAAUUGUCACAAAACUUAUUUGCAUACUCACUCGCUAAUCCAGGAUUAUCGAAAAUAGCUAAAAUUCCACCUCUAAACAUUUGCCUUUUCUUUUCAGCAUUUUUUUCCUGUUUUUUGUAACGUCGGUUAAAAUGAUCUGUAAAGAUCGUUUGAUCAACUCAUGCAAUUUAUAAAAGGUGACUCUUUAACCGAUUUGUUUCUUUUCAGACGAUACAUAUUGCUAGAUGUUUUGAAAAAAACAAGGUGUACAAACUGACUUUGGAGAGCAGAAAAUAGCCUUUCACCAGUGAAGUAGAUGUGUAUAAGAUGAGGAAACAUACUAAGUCCAAUCUGUCCCUAAUGGACAUAUUGGUUCACGCACUGUGGUGUUCUAAUAUUCUGUCUGAGAACCUUUGGUCAAACCUUUUAUAUGAUGAUCAACUAUUAAAUCCUCGUUGCCUCACUGGCCCAAGUCAACUCAGCAACUCCGUGUUGGGUCACAACAGUGAACUCAGUGGACGGAGCCACAUUUGUUUGUACGACGAGUCAGCUGCCAUAAAUUAGUUUUAUAGUUUAUGGACCUGAGCCACCCGUUCUCUUAGAGUUUCCAUGGUGUACUGUUUGGUUUCUCAUUAAUUUAAGUUUGAUUUUGCUGUUUUUUUCAAUCAAGGGAUCAUAAUACACUUCCAUAUAAUACGUGCAUAUAAUUACUUUUAUAGUAAUUGAGCCACUCAGUAGUCAGUGAUGUGCCACUGAGUAGUCAAUGAGGUGCCACUGAGUAGUCAGUGAGCAGAAUGGUACCACUGAGUCGUCAGUGAGCAGAAUGGUGCCACUGAGUCGUCAAUAAGGUGCCACUGAGUAGUCAAUGAGGUGCCACUGAGUCGUCAGUGAGCAGAAUGGUGCCACUGAGUCGUCAAUAAGGUGCCACUGAGUAGUCAAUGAGGUGCCACUGAGUAGUCAGUGAGCAGAAUGGUGCCACUGAGUAGUCAGUGAGCAGAAUGGUGCCACUGAGUCGUCAGUGAGCAGAAUGGUGCCACUGAGUCGUCAGUGAGCAGAAUGGUGCCACUGAGUCGUCAAUGAGCAGAAUGGUGCCACUGAGUCGUCAGUGAGCAGAAU